RNAcentral lists this ribosomal RNA (492 nucleotides) under uncultured bacterium. RNAcentral's name for it is "partial 16S ribosomal RNA". It matches the Rfam family "Bacterial small subunit ribosomal RNA", at positions 29 to 507 of the family's 1533-position model. The record is from RNAcentral.
AGUGAACGCUGGCGGUAGGCCUAACACAUGCAAGUCGAACGGCAGCACAGUAAGAGCUUGCUCUUACGGGUGGCGAGUGGCGGACGGGUGAGGAAUACAUCGGCAUCUACUUUUUCGUGGGGGAUAACGUAGGGAAACUUACGCUAAUACCGCAUACGACCUACGGGUGAAAGCAGGGGAUCUUCGGACCUUGCGCGAUUGAAUGAGCCGAUGUCGGAUUAGCUAGUUGGCGGGGUAAAGGCCCACCAAGGCGAGGAUCCGUAGCUGGUCUGAGAGGAUGAUCAGCCACACUGGAACUGAGACACGGUCCAGACUCCUACGGGAGGCAGCAGUGGGGAAUAUUGGACAAUGGGCGCAAGCCUGAUCCAGCCAUACCGCGUGGGUGAAGAAGGCCUUCGGGUUGUAAAGCCCUUUUGUUGGGAAAGAAAAGCAGCAGGUUAAUACCCCGCUGUUCUGACGGUACCCAAAGAAUAAGCACCGGCUAACUUCGUG